RNAcentral lists this long non-coding RNA (494 nucleotides) under Equus caballus (horse). RNAcentral describes it as "lncRNA (ENSECAG00000051500.1)". The record is from RNAcentral. Lineage: Eukaryota; Metazoa; Chordata; Mammalia; Perissodactyla; Equidae.
CCUGACGCUUACAAGUCACCAACUUAUUCUUACUUACAGUUACUCCAUGUAUGCAAGUAAAAAACAGAUCUGCCCAUCAAUCAAAGGGGAUUUCUGAGCCAUUGUUGACCUGAGACCAGGGUGUUUCAACCUCCACUUUGGAGAGAAUGUUCACAUGUUCAGUUCCAGGCCUUAGCUAAAAGGCAAGAAAUGCAGACUGCUCUACUCAGGAGAGAACUCACGUAUUCAAAGAGGACAGCUGGAGGCACACGCCAAAUUCAAAGUGGGACCCUCUUGUUGACUUUCUGAGUUGUUAUUGAGAGUUUCAACCACAACCUGACUGUCACUGGAGAGGAGAAGAUGAGAAAAGGAUUUAAUAAAGGUAGCAUGGGAAGAAGGAGGGAGAAGAGGAGUGGAAAGAUAAGGAGGAGAGAAAAACAUGCUAUUGAUAACCAGUGUUGUGGCUGGAUCAGCCCUUGUGGUUCUUAAUAUGAUUGCAAGAUGCCCUUAGCAAU